Molecule: ribosomal RNA, 398 nt
Filed under: uncultured bacterium
Lineage: Bacteria
Description: partial 16S ribosomal RNA
Rfam family: Bacterial small subunit ribosomal RNA
Source: RNAcentral
AUACGUAGGGUGCGAGCGUUGUCCGGAAUUACUGGGCGUAAAGAGCUCGUAGGUGGUUUGUCGCGUCGUCUGUGAAAUUCCGGGGCUUAACUCCGGGCGUGCAGGCGAUACGGGCAUAACUUGAGUACUGUAGGGGAGACUGGAAUUCCUGGUGUAGCGGUGAAAUGCGCAGAUAUCAGGAGGAACACCGGUGGCGAAGGCGGGUCUCUGGGCAGUAACUGACGCUGAGGAGCGAAAGCAUGGGUAGCGAACAGGAUUAGAUACCCUGGUAGUCCAUGCCGUAAACGGUGGGCGCUAGGUGUAGGGGUCUUCCACGACUUCUGUGCCGUAGCUAACGCAUUAAGCGCCCCACCUGGGGAGUACGGCCGCAAGGCUAAAACUCAAAUGAAUUGACGGGG